UGCUAUGAAAUAGAUGGUAAGCCUUAGCC
This 29-nucleotide non-coding RNA is filed under the name Homo sapiens (human). Lineage: Eukaryota; Metazoa; Chordata; Mammalia; Primates; Hominidae. The record is from RNAcentral.